CCUUAUGACCUGGGCUACACACGUGCUACAAUGGAUGGUACAAAGGGCAGCGAAACCGCGAGGUGAAGCCAAUCCCAUAAAGCCAUUCUCAGUUCGGAUUGCAGGCUGCAACUCGCCUGCAUGAAGCCGGAAUUGCUAGUAAUCGCGGAUCAGCAUGCCGCGGUGAAUACGUUCCCGGGUCUUGUACACACCGCCCGUCACACCACGAGAGUUUGUAACACCCGAAGUCGGUGAGGCAACCUUUUGGAGCCAGCCGCC
RNAcentral lists this ribosomal RNA (258 nucleotides) under Shouchella clausii. RNAcentral describes it as "Bacillus clausii partial 16S ribosomal RNA". It matches the Rfam family "Bacterial small subunit ribosomal RNA", at positions 1200 to 1457 of the family's 1533-position model. Lineage: Bacteria; Bacillati; Bacillota; Bacilli; Caryophanales; Bacillaceae. The record is from RNAcentral.